GCGAACGGGUGCGUAACACGUGGAUAAUCUACUCUAAAGAUGGGGAUAACCUGUGGAAGCAGAGGCUAAUACCGAAUAAUCUAUAUCAAGAUGUUGAUCUAGGAAAGAUGCCUUCAAGCAUCGCUUAAGAAUGAGUCCGCGGCUGAUUAGCUUGUUGGUGGGGUAAGAGCUCACCAAGGCGACGAUCAGUAGCCGGCCUGAGAGGGUGAACGGCCACACUGGGACUGAGACACGGCCCAGACUCCUACGGGGGGCAGCAGUUAAGAAUCUUCCGCAAUGGGCGAAAGCCUGACGGAGCGACGUCGCGUGGGUGAAGAAGGCCGAGAGGUUGUAAAGCCCUUUUAUAGGUGAGGAAUAAGGCGAGAGGAAAUGCUCGUUGAUGACGUUAGCCUAUGAAUAAGCCCCGGCUAAUUACGUGCCAGCAGCCGCGGUAAUACGUAUGGGGCGAGCGUUGUUCGGAAUUAUUGGGCGUAAAGAGCACGCAGGCGGAUGAAUAAGUCCGGUGUGAAAUCUGACAGCUUAACUGUCAAACUGCACUGGAAACUGUACAUCUUGAAUCGUAAGGGGGAAACUGGAAUUCUUAGUGUAGGGGUGGAAUCUGUAGAUAUUAAGAAGAACAUCAAUGGCGAAGGCAGGUUUC
This 640-nucleotide ribosomal RNA is filed under the name uncultured Spirochaeta sp. RNAcentral describes it as "partial 16S ribosomal RNA". It matches the Rfam family "Bacterial small subunit ribosomal RNA", at positions 98 to 729 of the family's 1533-position model. The record is from RNAcentral. Lineage: Bacteria; Pseudomonadati; Spirochaetota; Spirochaetia; Spirochaetales; Spirochaetaceae.